RNAcentral lists this ribosomal RNA (406 nucleotides) under uncultured bacterium. Its description in RNAcentral is "partial 16S ribosomal RNA". It matches the Rfam family "Bacterial small subunit ribosomal RNA", at positions 30 to 526 of the family's 1533-position model. The record is from RNAcentral.
AUUGAACGCUGGCGGCAGGCCUAACACAUGCAAGUCGAACGAGUGGCGGACGGGUGAGUAAUGUCUGGGAAACUUCCUGAUGGAGGGGGGUUACUACUUGAAACGGUAGCUAAUUCCCCAUACCAUCAGAUGUUCCCGGAUGGGAUUAGCUUGUUGGUGGGGUAACGGCUCACCAAGGCCACGAUCCCUAGCUGGUCUGAGAGGAUGACCGGCCACACUGGAACUGAGACACGGUCCAGACUCCUACGGGAGGCAGCAGUGGAGAAUAUUGGACAAUGGGCGAAAGCCUGAUGGAGCAAUGCCGCGUGUAUGAAGAAGGCUUUCGGGUUGUAAAGCACUGUCAGCGGGGAGGCGUUACCCGCAGAAGAAGCAACGGCUAACUACGUGCCAGCAGCCGCGGUAAUAC